RNAcentral lists this long non-coding RNA (1119 nucleotides) under Oryctolagus cuniculus (rabbit). RNAcentral's name for it is "lncRNA (ENSOCUG00000031839.1)". Lineage: Eukaryota; Metazoa; Chordata; Mammalia; Lagomorpha; Leporidae. The record is from RNAcentral.
AUGAGGGAGGAGGAGGUCCCUCUGGCAGGAUUCCAAGGGCAGAGGAGGGCUUUGGAAACUCUCAGUACCAGAUCAGAGCCCUGGCGACAGCCACCGGCCUCCGUGGGACGGGUCUGGGAGAAGCCCUGGCAUAGAAGGUCUGGAGGACUCUGGGAGGAAAAGGAGGCCAGCAGCAGAACCCCGAGUCCGGAGCUGGCUCCCACCUGCUCCUGCCCUCACCCCAGCCUCUCCUCUCUUCCCUCUGCAUGCUCACCCAGGGCCCUCAGAAGCCCAGCCCACAGAGACUGGCAGCAGGAGCUGAGUUUGCACUUGAGCUUGGAGGCCCUGACUCGGGGGGGGGGGGGGGGGGACCUGGGAAGCUCUGCAGAGUCCCCUUUAGGGAGGGCUCACCUCCAGGCCGCCCCUUCUCAGAGGGGUGCUUCCUUGCGUCCUGACCUGGCAGCCUCUGUCUUGGGGCCUCCCUGCCCCCCACCCAGCCCCCGGGGAGAAGCCUGGAGCUGGGGUGCCUGCCUGUUCACACCCUGUUUUGAGUUUGCUUCAAGCCUAAGGCGACUUCCUGUUUCCACCAUCAGGCCCAGGGCGAGAUCAAAGGCGAGGGCUGGUGAGUCCCGGGCGGAGGAAUUGAGGAAGCCCCCUCCUGCCUCUGCGGAAUGGGAGGGUUGGCGUUUAUGUGGAGACCGGGAGCACCGCGAGGCCACAGCCCAAUUCCCAGGGCCCUGGGCCCACGCUCGGCUGUGCCCACUCUGCCUGGACCUCGCCUCCAGGGACCCCUGGUCACGCGGCCCCAGCACCAACCCUGACCCCAUCCCAGGGGCUGCUCCUCUGCUGAAUCCCCGUCGCAUUUUCCGGAGCCUCCUCCGAAAAGCCGGAGCCGCAGCCGGCACAGCAAGAUACCCCUGGGCUGCGGGCCCGCCCCCUCCCCUGCGCGGCGGGCGGGCGGGCGUGGCCGGGCGGGGCGGACGCACGGGCGCGGGGGCCGCGGUGCGGCCAUCACUCUCGCACUCACGCGGGAGGAAUGCAGACGGCAGGGCUGCCCUGUGGUCACGUCUCCGCCCCACCGACGGAGGUAGGCGCCCAGGUACCCAGCCUGUGGGCCUUGGGAGCCCGCCAAGCUGCUGA